Haemorhous mexicanus (house finch) is the source of this 529-nucleotide long non-coding RNA. RefSeq lists it as uncharacterized. The transcript is spliced from 4 exons. The record is from RefSeq and is a predicted model, not a curated record. NCBI's taxonomy places the organism in Eukaryota, Metazoa, Chordata, Aves, Passeriformes, Fringillidae.
CAGCAAUUAUUUUGGCAAAAGCCUUGGUUCUGGAGUUGAAGCGGCUGUGGUGGAUGGGGUUCCGGAUGGCAAUGUAGCGAUCCAGCGAGAUGGCACAGAGGUGCAUGAUGGAUGCCGUGGAGAAGAGCACGUCCAGUGACUAAAAGAGGACUCAGUACUCUUGCAAAAGUCUCCUGACUGCUAAGUGAAAUACAAGACUUCCUCAUGGAUCUUGAAGGGAGUGUCUUUACUUAUACAACCUGGAAUGUUGAGCUCAUUCUGGACCUCUCAGCCUUCUAGAACCAUGCAAUUGUAGUGAGGUGGGAGCUUGACGUGAACCUUCUGAAAAUCAUGCUGGAACAACAUCCCUCAACCUUGCUGUUCACAGGUGAUGGUCCUGAGCAAGCUGGGUGUUGCAGCACCAGAGCCCUGUGUCCUGAUGACUGUAAACCUGAGAAAGAAGGAGAAAGAAAGUAAAGAAAAACAAGUAAGCGAGGAAGGUGAUGGCAAAGAAUCCAUGCAUUAUAGGUUUCGCUUUAUAUAAGAUAAA